GGGCCCGUAGCGUAGCCAGGAUAGCGCGGCGGCCUCCUAAGCCGCAGGUCGGGGGUUCGAAUCCCCCCGGGCCCGCCA
Molecule: transfer RNA, 78 nt
Filed under: Thermoprotei archaeon
Lineage: Archaea; Thermoproteati; Thermoproteota; Thermoprotei
Description: tRNA-Arg
Rfam family: tRNA
About the family: Transfer RNA (tRNA) molecules are approximately 80 nucleotides in length.
Source: RNAcentral